UCGCUCCUACCGAUUGAAUGAUCCGGCGAAAUCUUUGGACCGUGACACUGUGCCGGGAAACUGGUGUAGUGUCGUUGGGAAGUUGAUUAAACCUUAUCAUUUAGAGGAAGGAG
This 113-nucleotide ribosomal RNA is filed under the name uncultured eukaryote. RNAcentral's name for it is "partial small subunit ribosomal RNA". It matches the Rfam family "Eukaryotic small subunit ribosomal RNA", at positions 1676 to 1785 of the family's 1831-position model. The record is from RNAcentral.